Molecule: long non-coding RNA, 422 nt
Filed under: Salmo salar (Atlantic salmon)
Lineage: Eukaryota; Metazoa; Chordata; Actinopteri; Salmoniformes; Salmonidae
Description: lncRNA (ENSSSAG00000103762.1, ENSSSAG00000109890.1)
Source: RNAcentral
CAGGUGUCUAUCUGUCUGUUGGUGUUGUUUAUCCUCCAGGUGUCUGUCUGUCUGUUGGUGUUGUUUAUCCUCCAGGUCUCUGUCUGUUGGUGUUGUUUAUCCUCCAGGUGUCUGUCUGUUGGUGUUGUUUAUCCUCCAGGUCUCUGUCUGUCUGUUGGUGUUGUUUAUCCUCCAGGUCUCUGUCUGUCUGUUGGUGUUGUUUAUCCUCCAGGUCUCUGUCUGUCUGUUGGUGUUGUUUAUCCUCCAGGUCUCUGUCUGUCUGUUGGUGUUGUUUAUCCUCCAGGUCUCUGUCUGUUGGUGUUGUUUAUCCUCCAGGUCUCUGUCUGUUGGUGUUGUUUAUCCUCCAGGUCUCUGUCUGUUGGUGUUGUUUAUCCUCCAGGUGUCUGUCUGUUGGUGUUGUUUAUCCUCCAGGUGUCUGUCUG